This 253-nucleotide ribosomal RNA is filed under the name uncultured bacterium. Its description in RNAcentral is "partial 16S ribosomal RNA". It matches the Rfam family "Bacterial small subunit ribosomal RNA", at positions 524 to 776 of the family's 1533-position model. The record is from RNAcentral.
UACGUAGGUGGCAAGCGUUGUCCGGAAUUACUGGGCGUAAAGGGCGCGUAGGCGGCCUGUUAAGUCGAACGUGAAAUCCCUGGGCUCAACCCAGGAACUGCGUCCGAUACUGGCAGGCUUGAAUUCGGAAGAGGGAAGCGGAAUUUCUGGUGUAGCGGUGAAAUGCGUAGAUAUCAGAAGGAACAUCAGUGGCGAAAGCGGCUUCCUGGUCCAGUACCGACGUUCAGGCACGAAAGCGUGGGGAGCAAACAGG